GACAGGAUAAGCUAACACCAAGCUGUUGGGCUCAUAACCCAGAAAUAGAUUUCACUCUUCCUGUUA
RNAcentral lists this transfer RNA (66 nucleotides) under Popenaias popeii. Its description in RNAcentral is "tRNA-Met". Lineage: Eukaryota; Metazoa; Mollusca; Bivalvia; Unionida; Unionidae. The record is from RNAcentral.